This 426-nucleotide ribosomal RNA is filed under the name uncultured bacterium. RNAcentral describes it as "bacterial SSU rRNA". It matches the Rfam family "Bacterial small subunit ribosomal RNA", at positions 34 to 507 of the family's 1533-position model. The record is from RNAcentral.
CGCUGGCGGCAGGCCUAACACAUGCAAGUCGAACGCCCUAGCAAUAGGGAGUGGCGCACGGGUGCGUAACGCGUGGGAAUAUGCCCUUCACUGCGGAAUAACGUUUGGAAACGAACGCUAAUACCGCAUAAUGACUCCGGUCCAAAGAUUUAUCGGUGAAGGAUUAGCCCGCGUUAGAUUAGCUAGUUGGUGAGGUAAUGGCUCACCAAGGCGACGAUCUAUAGCUGGUCUGAGAGGAUGAUCAGCCACACUGGGACUGAGACACGGCCCAGACUCCUACGGGAGGCAGCAGUGAGGAAUAUUGGACAAUGGGCGCAAGCCUGAUCCAGCCAUGCCGCGUGAGUGAAGAAGGCCUUCGGGUUGUAAAGCUCUUUCAGAUGUGAAGAUAAUGACGGUAGCAUCAGAAGAAGCCCGGCUAAAUUCGUG